UUGUGUAUGAAAUCCAUAAAAUGCUUUCUAGAGAAGAAACUAAAAAAAAUAUACAUCAAGCAUGAGAGGAGCUCUGCAUCAUCCGUAGCAACAGGUCAACGAGCAUUUUUUUGAAAGAAACAUCGUCGGGAAAAAGGACGUUCGACUCCCGAGGUCGAUAACGUCAGUUGGUCAUCUGUCAAGGACCUCAUUGGACCUAGGGCCCUCGUAGGCUGGAUAAAACACCUCAACCUGCUUUUGAUAUUUGUGGUUCGGAUACAGGAUUCUCUGACUUUCCCGAACAAUAUUUCGUUGUCUAGAUCUUUUCCUAAUAAUAUUCCUUUGGUCUCUUCCGCUAUUCUAGUCAUUUGAAGCAUUUGAGAGCCAAAGCGGUUGGUUCUACGUGCCUUGCUUCCUUUCCAAAUAAUAUUCCUCUCUCCAAAUCUCCGGGUCGUCAUCCUCAUUAUACAGAUUCUUUUGAUCACCCCCUUCACUUUGGGAGGGAUAAUUUGCGUAGAGAUUGCCCGGUCAAGCCAGAGAAGAGAUCCAGGCGAUCUGGGCUGUUUCAAUACAAGCGUCAGACUCCUAAAGUCCUUUUGUUUGACGACAUUUUAUCUCCUCAAAUCCAAGAUCUUAAAGCCACUGCUCUCAUUUGCAAAUUUUGGCGCUUUACUCCUCCCAUUUCAGAAUUGAAAACGUGGGUAUUUGAGCACUGGCAUGGAGCGAACCAGAUAUUUUACAUUAAUAAAGGUUCAAGUCAUGGAUACCCAAUUUCAACCCCCGUAGCAAUCGAUUGAGGUUUGUACCCUUGUGGGUGCAGAUGCGGGCUCUUCCUUUGGAGUACAAGAACCUUUCAUAGUAGAAAAUCUGGCUUACCAGUUUGGAAAGUUUCUGGAUCAUGAUUUGCAUUUUUUUAGUAAUCCUCAUUUACCGGUUAGGGUUUGUGUGUUGUUAAAUAUGGAUAAUCCGCUUCCAAAAAAAAUCAUCAUUAAAUGCUCUUUGGGCCCUUGGGUUCAAAAUUGGUUCCUUGAGACUUCCUGGAAUGUAUGUCAUUCUUGUCACAUUUCUGGUCACAUAGAGAAGCACUGCAAAAAAAUCCUCUUCUGGCCGCAUAGAGAAGCACUGCAAACAAUCCUCUUCUGGAUUGGAAAACCAGGACUUAUUUUUUGACCAACCUGUUACUAAGCAACUGAAAGUUAAGGAGAUAGUUGUUUGCCCUGAUCCUGGGGUUGUUUUAAUUUGGGAUAAGGGAUCCACUUCUCAUUCGUCUUUUUUACACGACCUGCCCUUCUUUCGACCUUUGUUUCCGCAGUGUAUGAGGUUGCAGGACAAAGUUUCAAAUAACAUGUGUUUCUUUGUUUCAGAAUCAAAUUCCUUGGCUCUGCAUUUGUUUGUUCCAGAUUUUAAACCCUCAAAACUUCAGGUUAAGCAUUUAGCAUCCUCUCUAACCUGGGGUGCUUCUACUGUAUCUUCCAUGUUAUUCUUGGAAGCGCCUCCAGAUCAAAAUUUGAUGUAGGAAAAUUCUUUUGAUUCAAAAAUUCGCUCUCUCUCUGGAAGAGAUAGAUUUCCCAGUCAGUAGCACAAAUUUGGUCGACAGAUCGAAUGUUCAUCACAACAAAAAAUGUUUGGUGUUACCUGAUAUAGAGAUUUUGAAUCAAGAUAGAGAUGGAGGUGGGAAAAUAGAUUCUCAGUCAGAAGAAUUAACUUGCCACAAUUUGGCAUCUCUAUUGAUCUCUCUGUCUUCUUCAAGUUCUCAGGUUUUGGUUGAAGAUGAUCAUUUUCUCAAGCUCUCUUUCUAUCCAACAAUCCCCUUCUUUACCACUCCAGAAGUCUCUUAAUAAGAGAGGAUGAAAAAAGCUGGAUUUUAUUACUUAAUAAGAGAUUGCCUCUGGUAAGCAAUUAACAUUGAAUGGCAGUAUCAAGAAAAUAUUGAGGGGAGCCAGUAGCUCUCCGAAUUCUCUAUGAAAAUUGUAUCUUGGAAUGUCAGGGGUCUAAAUUCCCCUGACAAAAGAGCCCGUAUCAAGCACUAAUUGGAUGCUUGUGGGGCAGAUAUUGUAUUUCUUUAGGAAACUAAGUUGUCAGUUGAUAAUUUUAAUGCUUCUUUUUCAAAUUGGACGAGAUGGAAAUCCUUUCACACAACCUCAAAUGGAGCAUCAGGGGGUCUGUUGGCCUUAUGGAAAUCUUCCUCAGUCACCUUGCAUCAUUUAGUGGACUGUCCAAAUUGACAAGCUUACAAAGUUGUCCAUUUUGACUUACAAUUCCUAAUUCUUAAUGUUUAUGCCCCCAACUCCACUCAAGGAAAAGAAAUCUAUGGGGUAGUAAAGAGUCUUUUAUUGAUCAGUUAGAACCUCUUAAGGUGGUUCUUGCUGGAGAUUUUAAUGCUAUUCUGGAUUUGAAUGAUAAGAAAGGAGGUAUUAUCCCUCCUACCAAAGUUAUGAAUGAUUUCAAUGUAUUUGUUCAAAACAAUGUACUCAUUGAUGUCAUUCUGUUUAAGGGCUCAUUUACUUGGACGAAUAAGAGGCAAGAUCACUUCCAUAUUGCUGUUAGACUAGAUCGUUUUCUAGCUUCUACUUUAUGGUUUGCAGAUGAAUAUGUAUUUCAAUAUGAAAUUCUUCCAUGGUCUGAAUCAGAUUACUUUCCGAUUAAUCUUUCUCUGCGAAUCCCUAAUCAGAGCUCGGGUCCAAAGGCUUCUUUCAAAUUUCAAUCCAUGUGGUUCAAGCAUCAAGAUUUCCUUCCUCUUUUGCAAUCAAAAAAUGAAAUAUUUGAAGGUUCAGAUUAAAGAAUGGAAUAACAGUGUGUUCAAAACCAUUUUUAACCAAAAAGAUGCUCUCUAAAGAAUUACAAGCUAUCAAUGAACAAAUUAUUCUAAAUGGUAUGUAUGCAACAUCAUACAAGGAGCAAAGAUUGCUUCAAUCUGAAUGGGAGGAAAUUCUAGCCAGAGAAGAGUGUUAUUGGAGACAAAAAUCUAGGGAACUUUGGCUGAAGGAAGGAGACUAAAAUACUAAAUUUUUUCAUCGUUCAACUCAAACUAAGAAAGCAAGAAAAUCUAUCUUUUCAAUUUCCCAUAGUAUUUCAAGCUAGAGACUUUCGAGUAAAGAAGAUAUAAAGCAAGAAGCAGUUGAUUUUUUCUCUAGGCUCCUUUUGGAUUCCCAUCAUGAUAAAGUUCAUUCUACUGCAAAUAAACAUCAGUUGUUGGAUUCAAUUCCUUCCUUUAUUUCAGAUGAUGAUAAUUGCUUAUUGACUAAACCUUUCACCUUGAAAGAGCUGAAGAUGGUUGUUUUCUCAAUGGCCCCAGAUAAAGCUCCAGGCCUUGAUGGGUUCACUGCUCUUUUUUUCCAAAAAAGUUGGGAUUCAUAUGUUUAGACUUGCUCAAAGCCUUAGAAUAAUCUCGUCGGUCUAGUAAAAUGCUCUCUCAGUUUAAUACACUCAUAUUGUUCUUAAUCCAAAGACCUAGUCUCCAGUUACCUUCUCAGAUUUCAGACCUAUCUCUUUAUGUAAUACUAUUUAUAAAAUUUUCAUGAAGGCUAUCUAUAUGAGAUUGCAUCAUUUGGUACCAAAAUUUAUCUCAUCAGAACAAGGAGGUUUUGUUCCAGGUAGAGAGACUGCUGAGGGUGCUAUUGUUGCCCAUGAGGUGCUGCAUUUUAUUUGUACUUUCAAAAUUAUUUCCUUAAUCAUCAAAUUGGACAUGAUGAAAACAUAUGAUAGAGUAAAUUGGGAUUUUUAAUGGAUAUUUUCUAUAAGAUGGGUUUUGAUAGGAAAUUGGGCAGAUGGAUUCAUGCUUGUAUAUCGGGAGCAAUAUUUUCAGUGUUAAUCAAUGGUUCAGCAACAUGUUUCUUCUCCUCCUCUCAAGGAAUCAGACAAGGAGGUCCUUUGUCUCCACUUCUAUUCAUUAUUUUGGCAGAGGCAUUGAACAGGUCUAUUAAGAAGGCACAUGAUGAUGGGUUUUGGAAAGGAGUAAAUAUUCCUCACACACCUAUUGAUGUUACACAUUCACUAUUUGCAGAUGAUACAAUUUUUUUUGGAUCAACAACUCUGUCAGAAGCAAAGUAUAUCAAAGAAACCUUGGACACCUAUAUGAUUGCAUCUAAUCAGAAAAUAAAUCCUCAAAAGUCCAAAAUCUUCAUACAAAAUGCUGAUCCUCGGAUUCAAGAUUCAAUUUUGCAUACUUUGGGAUUUCAACAUGCUGAAUUACCCUCUCAGUAUUUAGGCAUUCCUUUUUUUUUUUUUUUUCUGGCACAUCUCGAGUUUCUUACUGGGAUAAGGUCAUUCAAAAUAUUUAGAAUCGAAUUGUAGGUUGGAAAGGUAGGUGGCUUUCUUUAUCAGGAAGAAUUCUUAUGAUCAAAAUAGUCUUAUCAACAAUUCCAAAUUACUUCAUGGUAGUCUUAAAAACUCCUCGAGCUAUGAUAAUUGUAUUAGAAAAGUUAAUUAGAUCCUUUCCUUGGAAGUGUAACAUGGAUGGAAAGAAAAAAAUCCCCUUGAUUUCCUUACAAAAAAAUUGCUCUAGCAAGUUAACAGGUGGUGAUGGAGUCCACAAUUUAUCAGCAAGACACUUAUCUUUGGGGGCUAAGCUAGUUUGGAAUAUGUAUGCAAAAUCUUUGGCAAACUGGUGUACUAUUUUUCAAGCUAAGUAUUUAGAUUCUAAUUCUCCAUCCAGGAUCUUCACACUAGAAAAUCCACCUUCAGGUUUAGUUAUGUGGAAUUUUCUUAUUUCUUGUAGAAAACUUAUUUCUCCCCACUUAACUUGGGAAAUUCAUGAUGGGGAAACAACAUCUUUUUGGUAUAAUUCUUAGAAUGCAUACCCCCGAUUGCAAUCGGUCCCACAGUUUCACGAUGCAGAACAAUACUUUUGUCCAAUUCUAGGUACCAAGGCGAAAGACUACUUCAAAUCUAUAGAUAGAAUUAUAGGGAAAGUUUUAUGGAAAAGCCUUGAAGCUUCAUGCUUUUCUCUUGAUCUUCUCAAUGACCUUAAUGAAGCAAUUGAGAGAUGCCUUGUGUUUAUAAAUCAUAAUAGUGAUAUGCUAAAAUGGGCGCCUUCAAAAACAGGACAAUAUACAGUGAAGCUAGGCUACAAAGCUGCAAUUUCACAUCAAGGACAACUCAUUUCACAGAGAGCUUUAUCUUUUUGUUGGUCUCUAGGAAUACUUCCUAAAGCUAGAUGCUUUAGUUGGCUAGCUUUGAAACAUAGAAUUCUCACAAGUGAUCGCCUUGUCAAACUAGGGAUCUCACACAAUCCUUUUACAUGUGUUCUCUAUCAAAUGGCAUGUGAGGAUGUUGAUCACCUUUUCCUGCAUUGUCCAUUUACUUCUGCUUGUUGGUAGUUUGUGAAAGACAAGCUUCAUUGGCAGGCACCUUUGACACAAAAUUUGUGGAAUAUGUUUUCAGCUUGGCCUGUUUUAUAUAAUACCCCCUUGUUUGCAAUUAUAUGGAGAAUUGUACCCUCAACAUUAAUUUGGUGCAUCUGGUGAGAGAGAAAUAAAAGGAUUUUUCAGAAAGCAAACUUCAUCAUUACCAAUGGUAAUUGCCACACUGGAAAAGAUAUCAGGUGAAGUAACAAAUGCUUAUGUAUCAAAAACAAAGCAUGUUGGUUCUAUUUUCACAGAUUGGGAUAAUUCUUUACUAAAAACUUGCCCUAAGCUCUGUUUGCCAUUCAAAGGUAGUUAGCAUUCUAGUCAGAUAUUCAAGAUUGAUAGAAAUAAAGUUAAAUGACAUUCUCCUUCAUCUAAUCAGGUUAAAUUGAACUUCGAUGGCUCUUCCAAAGGAAAUCCGGGCCCCUUGGGUGCUGGUGUUUUAUUAAGGGAUCAUAGGGGAUGUAUUAUUUAGGCUAAGGCAAUCAAACUUCCAGAUGGAACUAACAACCAAGCUGAAGUUCAAGCUUUGCUUUAUGGUUUGCAGAUGGCUAGGAAUUUAAACAUUGAAAAUUUGGUCAUCGAAGGGGACUCUUUAUUGGUUAUUAAUGCUUUCAGGGGUCAAACAAAGUGCAAUUGGAAAAUCAAUUAUGUUUUGGAGCAGGCUCGAGGGUUGUUGUCAUUCUUGGAAUCUUAUGAAAUUAAUCAUGUUUAUAGGGAAGCCAACAAAGCCGCUGAUGCUCUCACAGAUAUGGAAACUGUACAAGGACAAUGGGACUACACCUUUGACAUACAUGAUGACACAAUUCCACAUAAAUUGCUUCAAAUAUUACAGGACGAAAGGAUUCAGUAAUAAUUAUCCCCUUCACUUAGUUGAUUCUAAUGUGGUUUUUGGCAGGUUUAUUUGUUGAUACAAUGUUUGGCAACUUUUCUCGCAUUUUAUGGGAGAAGUAAUUUCUGAUUUUCCCGUUGUGUGGAAAUGUUUGUGAGGUGAUGAUUGGGAUCAAGUGUGGUACUUUUUUUACAAGUGGCAUUUCAACAAUUCCGUCCUCUGACAUUUUAUGUGCUCAAGUAACAUAUUAAUUGGCAAACUCAUUUUUAAAUGAGAUUCUAUCUUACUUGUUUCAUUAAUGAUUUCUUUGUAUUUUCGACAAGAUUUUUUCAAAAAAUAUUUAAAUUCGCCGGUGCUCAAUCAA
Cryptomeria japonica (Japanese cedar) is the source of this 6520-nucleotide long non-coding RNA. RefSeq lists it as uncharacterized. The record is from RefSeq and is a predicted model, not a curated record. The transcript has 2 exons. Lineage: Eukaryota; Viridiplantae; Streptophyta; Pinopsida; Cupressales; Cupressaceae.